AACAUUGCUCAAUGGUGGAAAUCGUGACGCAGCAACGCCGUGAGAGGUCAUAUGGCCUUCUGUUCGUAAAACUCUGUCAUUGGAGAAGGAAAAAAUGACGGUACCCAAUGAGGAUGCCCCGGCUAACUACGUGCCAGCUGCCGCGGCAAUACGUAGGGGGCAAGCGCUGUGCGGAAUUACUGGGCGUAAAGGGUGCGUAGGCGGCCAAUUAAGUCAGAUGUGAAAUACCACGGCUCAACUGUGGGGGUGCAUUUGAAACUGGUAGGCUUGAGUGCAGGAGAGGAAAGUGGAAUUCCUAGUGUAGCGGUGAAAUGCGUAGAGAUUAGGAGGAACACCAGUGGCGAAGGCGACUUUCUGGACUGUAACUGACGCUGAGGCACGAAAGCGUGGGGAGCGAACAGG
This 402-nucleotide ribosomal RNA is filed under the name uncultured bacterium. RNAcentral describes it as "partial 16S ribosomal RNA". It matches the Rfam family "Bacterial small subunit ribosomal RNA", at positions 360 to 776 of the family's 1533-position model. The record is from RNAcentral.